Molecule: long non-coding RNA, 820 nt
Organism: Mercenaria mercenaria
Lineage: Eukaryota; Metazoa; Mollusca; Bivalvia; Venerida; Veneridae
Exons: 3
Source: RefSeq, a predicted model, not a curated record
AAACUGUAAUACUGGUUUACUGUUUACUAAUACUAGAACAUUCGUUGUGUUAAGUCACGUAAAACUUUGUAGCAGUUUAGUAUUUGGCGUAAAUGAAUAAGGAUAUAAAGAUUAAAAAUGAGUUUUGAAGAGUUCUUUAAAGAUAUUGAUUGUCUUACUGUGGCUUUGAGAGAGAAAUACCCUAACGACCCUGAUGUGCAGAAAUGGAAUGAAAUAUACUGCAAAAGAUACUAUGAUCUUCUCAUUCAACAUAUUUGGAAUCCAGACGAAUUUCAAAUACUUCAAGAAGAGAACACUAGAUUAAAACAAGAAUUACAGACUUUAAAACAAAGUACUUCUAAAACAAUGACGUCGUCCAUAUCAAAACAAACGAAAUAUGAUAAAAUUAGAAAAAAUAUUCAACAAUCAUAUUCAGAAGAAAGAAGGUUAACUUGCGACUGUGAUUACUCUGGAGAACCAACGAUUGAUUUAUGUAUUAAAGCUUUGGGAACGUAUGACAAAUUGAUCAGCUCUGAUAAACGGAAUGUAGUUUUAAAUUCUGCGAACAAAGGACAUGUUUUAAAAGAUUUAAAAAAACUUUCAAGAAAGGAAAAGAAAGGAUUUAUGGAUAUACUAAAAAAUCAUGGUUUCGUUUAUUCAUUAUCACAUUGCAAAUUUUUAAUACGUUUAUAUGAUUUUGCAAUGACUCAUAAUAAAAUAUUACAUUGUGCUUUAUCUAUUGAGUAUAUUUGUCAAAAUUUUACAAUCAUUAAGAAAAUCUUUCAAGAAUUGACUUGGUGAAUACAAAUAAGUCACUCAACCGAGGGAUUAUAUUAUAAUC